UUUUUUGAUGUUUUUUGAAUUUUUCAUGCCCCUUCCAAAAUGCGGUCAAAACAACGGGCAUGACCAUUACUAACUAAUGGUUGAAUCUUGGAAAACUUUUGGUGUUUCUCUAACUAAAUGGAUACUUAUGUACCUAAAAAUUAUUUUGGGAAAAAUAAAGAGGAAAGUAUAAUGCAACUAAAGUUCAAAUUGGACCCGUUUCAAGCUGAAUCGGCAAAAAUUUGUCUUUUUCACGACAGGUGUAUGAAAGCUUUUGACACCCAACCAUUUAGUCUAUUGUACAUUAAAUAUGACCUAAUAUUUUAGAAAAAUGAUUCGGUCCAAUUUUGCAAUAAAUAUAUGGUAGGUCCUUCACAAAAAAACUCAUUUGGCGCACUCGAAAAAUAGAAAAUGAAUUUCCCGUCCAAAGAAAAUGAAAACUUCCUUAUGCAAUAUUGUUUGUCAUUCCAAUAUGUACCCUUGUGCACAAUAUGAUAUCAUUUUAACAAAUAUGCCAUGAAUGUGGCCACAAGACUGGUCAUUUGGCUUGAAAGCCAUGAAUCUACACACAUUGUAGCUCAUUUAUGAGAGCAGUUUUUUAAAAUUAUUGCCAUAUUACAAUUUUAUUAUUUGACCUAAUAACUUUGUCACAUAUAAUGACACAAUGCGAAGGUAUUCCAUUUUUUGAAUUUUUCAUGCCCAUUGCAAAAUGCGGUCAAAAUGGCGGGUAUGACCGUUGCUAGCUAGUGGUUGAAUCUUGGAAAACUUUUGGUGUUUCUAUGAUUACAUAGAUAAUUAUGUAACUAGAAAUGAUUUUUGGAAUAAUGAAAGGGAAAUCUAUCAAGCAGUUGUAGUUAAAAUUUGACCUGCUUCCAUCUGAAUCAGAAGAACUUUGUCUUUUUCACGAGAGGUGGAUCAAAAGCUUUUGACACCAAACCAUUUGGUCAAUUGUACAUUUCAUAAGACUUAAAAUUUUCGAAAAAUGAUUUGGUACAAUUUUGCAACAAAUAUUUGGUAGGUCCUUCACAAAAAAACUUACUUUGGGCUCUCGAAAAAUGGAAAUGGAUUUUUCGUGCAAAGAAAAUGAAAAGUCCCUUUGGCAACCUUGUUUGUAAUUCCAAGAUGCAAGCUUGUCUACUCCAAGAGAUAAUUUUUGGAUUUUAUAUUGUGAAAAAGUAGAAGCAAAACAAUAGGGAAAAUACAAUUGCAUAUGCUUUAUUCUGAUAGGUGGAAUUGGUUGUGACACGGAUCAAUGACAUGGCNCCAGAUCCAGAUCUGCCACCCACCUCCCUCUCCCCUCGCCGCCGCUUCCCAUCACGACUCCCCGAUCCAAAUGCGCCACCCACCUCCCUUUCCCCUCGCCGCCGGUCUGCACCCUCCCUGUCCCCCACCUUUGUCCCCCACCUUCUCCCCCUACGCAUCUGGAAGACCACCACCACAGCCAACUUGGCAGUCGCCUUGGUGCGGCUGGGGCUCCCGAUGGUGGCGGUGGAUCCGGGGCGGAUGUCGGCCUCUUCUUCGCAAUCAGCUUCGCGUGUCAAAUUAAGAGAAGACAAUAGGGACGGAGGUCGCUAGCGAACAGGUAUGGUGGCAGCCAUGGCACACCCAGAUCCUCCAUGGUCGCUGAGGGCUUCUUCGUCCUCGGCCUCGUCCUCGGCCUCGAGUUGUUCCACCUGAGGGCAAUGCUCGUCAGGUCCGAUUUCUUCCAUCUCAUGACCGGCAUGUGGCGAUGCAGUCCGAGCGGUGCUUCCUCUAGAUGAUCGGAUUCCGGCCUUCGGAAAUCCCCAAGGUCUAGCGUGAACUUGCUACGCAAAUGCACCAUAGUAUUUUUACUUUGUCUGACAUUUGUGUGAUGAUUAAGGCGAUGUUACAUGCUGAAUCUUCCUGCCCAUUUCUUUUCAUCAGAUGCUGAUACCUCAGCUUGAUCCGUCGAUGGAGCAGCAGCUGUUGGGGAUACCUCAGUUGCAUCAGUUAACAGUUUGGUAAUGCAUAGGUCAGGCGAAGAAGCAGAUACCCACCCCUAGUUCAGUACUUUAGCUCAUUCGUUCAGGUGCUUCAGACUUGUGAAUAUCGCGACGAGGAUCUUUGACUCGGCUGUGCCAGUCCUCUUUGUCGUUUUCAAAUCCCAAAAUGUUCGUUGGUUGAAAUUUCUAGGGAAUAAUUUGAUUAUGUAGGAGCACAAUUGUUUCUGCCGUAGAUCAUGCCUCAUGUUGGAGUGAAUUCAAGUGGAUAUUUGUCUUUCCUUUAGGACUUUAAUGUACUGAAAGAAAUUUUCUUUUGGAUUAUGUAGACCACAAGUAUCCUCAUGAUGUUUUCAAUUCCCAAUAUGUGCCCUUAUUGAAAUUCGUAAGGGGUAAUUUGAUUUAUUCCAGCAGUACAAGUACAACUAUUGCUGAUGUACCUUAACAAAUCAAUUUAAGUCUCUUCUAAUGGUAUUGUUCCCAAUAUGUUUUCAAGCCCUAGAAUGUGCCUUCUUUGAAAUUCGUAGGGGAUAAUCUGAUUUAUUAUAGAACUAGUACUACAAUUGUUGCUGUUGUAGCCCAUGCCUCAUGUAGGUAUGUAUAUUCUAAUGGAUCUACCAAAAUAUAUUAGGUGUUGCAAUAAAUAUAUGGAACUAGUACUACAAUAUAUUUUGGACUUCUAAUGGUACUGUUCCCAAAAAUGAAUUUCCUGUUGUAUUUCUCGAUAACAAAGUCAGUUAACUUGAGAUUACGUGAAUUUUUUAAGAAAUCAUGAUGCUUACUCCAUUUUAUUUCUCUGAGUAUGUAGCACUGGUAACAGCUUCCUCUGUCUGUCCUGUUUUUUCUCGUGAAGACUUACAAAUGUUCAAGCAAAUGCAGGCUUUUGCCAAGGCCAGUUAUGCCAUCAUCUUCGCUCUGGUGGUCACCAUUCUGCUUCUUCCCUCCCCUGGUUCAAUAGCAGCAACAUGUAGCACUUUGGCUAAUCUACAAACUGUGUGGUUACUCUUUCACUCUGGUGCCAUAUGUCCUUGUACACUAUCUUGUUUCUCCAAAAUUUUACAACCUUGUUCUUGUUUUCGAUCGUGUAGUGUAGGUUUUCUUGAUUGUUGAUUUAGAAUGAGGAUGAAAUUAUGUGAUGAACCUUGCCAUGCCACAUUAAUGUUCCAUUAACUGAAUCAUUAGGCAUGUGUGUGUUGUUUUAGUUUCUGUAGCAUUAGUUGAGAAUUAGUGAUUUUCUCAGUACUCCCGCUUGCUCUUCUCUACUUACUCGAGUAGUAACUGCAACAGUAUUAUCUGGUUUGGUAGAUUUGUUAUUUUGGUGCUCAAAAUUUUACCUGCAUGGAUUCUGACUUAACUUAUUCUUCUAGGUAUUUUCAUUACUAUGAUCAAUUUAGUUAGAGUUGCACAUGUUAGUAUAUUAUAUACCAAAAACUCCUAGCUAGUGAGAAAAUUUUAGAUACUCCAUGUACACAUACUAGUUAGUGUUGGUCAUACUAUUUAUGUACAUGGAUUUUUUUUGCCAAUUCUUGCUUACAAGCUAUUGGAUCCAUCAUUGUCUAAUGUUUGAUGUUAUUUACACCUUAUUCUUAUUUUUUGCAAGGUGAAGUACAAAGCCAAGUGUGAAGCUAUGAAGCCUAUCAACAAAGAGUAGCAUAUGUAUUGUAAUAGUUGGGAGUAGUAGACAUAUCUGGGUUGCGGUGUAGUGUAAAGAUUGUAAAUUGUGAAGUUAUGCAGUUUCUGAACCUGUGAAGUACUGCAUUUUGUUAAACUGUGCACUUGUGAAGUUAUGCAUUUUGUGAAGUUCUGAAUUAUUUGAGUUUUGUUUGGACCAUUUUGUUUGGGCUCUAAACUUAGUUGGACUGCAAAAAUGUCGAGGCCCAAACAAGACUUUGAUUAAAAAGGCUUGGGCCUAAAAAAAGAGUUGACUGUAAAUAAAUUAGUUAAAUGGCCGCAUUUCUUAAAAUAAAAGGCCAAUGCCCAAACAAGAAUUGUACUAAAAAGGUUGUGGCCAAAACCAAGUGUGGACUAUAAAAAAUUGCCCAGUAAAAGGCUCCAUAAAAGGCCAAAUUAUUGGGCCCGGCCCAUGCAGCUAAGAAAAAUAAAGAGAAAAAAAAACAUUUAAUGGGCUGAAUUAUUGGGCUUGGCCCAUGUAGACGACCUGAAUGGUCCGGGCUGAUUCUAAUUUACGACCUUUUGUUUGGUCGUAAAUGUCUACGACUAAUCCAAAAGAAAGGUCGUUAUAGUUCAUUAGAGACGCUCAGCUUUUGACCGUCUGAUUUUGGUCGUAAAAAAGUCGCAAAUAGAAACGAACGACUAUUCGGUGACCAAUAUUGACGGUCGCAAGUUAUCAUAUUUCUUGUAGUGAUUUUGCAAAUUUUGAACUCGAAAUGUUAGUCUUAAGUUUGUGCUAAGUGGGUUUCGGUUCCACCGAGUUAAAAAUUUGCAGUCUCCAAGACUAACUAUCUGUUAAACAAAUACUUGUACACUCUUUUCGGUUCCAUUGAAAAGAGAAACUUGGGAUCACCGAGAUAGUUCAUAGAAACCCUAGACUACGAAUCGGUGACACCGAUCCGUACUAACUUCGUGACUCCAAGACACACAGAGCGUAGACCUAAACCUAAAAACUUUUGUUCAACUAAUCUAAUGGAAUUUCUCUAUGGAUAGAUGUAUUGCAAAUCGUGGCAACAUGAUGAAAUGGUCGUAUUGCGCAAGAUUUAGACUUUGGAAGUGCAAACGGGGUCGAAACCAUACCCUAACUUGGUGUUGGUUCCGCUACAACGACGAGAACGGGUGAGAUUGCAAUGGAAAGUGAAUGACUCCUGCGGCGAGGGCGCAUGGGAGAUGUUGAGCGAUUUCCAGAGACUCGAGCGCGGCAACAGAGGGGUGCGGGAGGACUAAGACAUGAAUAGAUUUUCUAUCUUGGGUCCGUGGUAUUAUAUACCCUCAUGCUGUAAGUGACACAGAUUCUAAAAUUUUGGUGCCACCGAUUUUCUUAACAGCCAGGGGCAGGGAAACUCAGUGAGUCAGAGAUUUAAAAAUCGGUGGUACCGAGGUUCGAAACCAUAUCAAACCUAGAGCUUUGGUGGGACCGAGUUUGUGGAAUGGUCACACCGAGUGGCACAUGAGAGGUUUUUGAAUUUAGCUCUUGUCGAGAUAGAACUCCAAGUGCUCCUCACACAAAGGGUCCGAAAAGUGCUUGCUCAAAUAUUGCGAUGAAGCAUGCUCCUCACACAAAGGGUCUGGGUACUUAGGCAUUCUUAUAUAUCCAAUUGGCCAAAGAAAAUGAAACGCCAAAUAACAACAAUUGGAUAUCGUCGAAUAAGAAAAAUUAUGCAUACCAACAUGCUCACACAAUAAGAUGUCAAAUGAAACAUGGAAAAAAUGCACAACCACUCUAGUAUCUGCCAAGCACUUUGGUGAUGAUGAAGUCAUCUAUCUAUGAGUAUACUGACUUAGGAGCCAAGCAAGAAUACUUGAUCAUAGGUCAUAGUUGUCGUUUAAGCACAAGUGGGUUUGCCACUUUUUCAUAAAGCUUUCAAUGUGUUCACAUAUUCAAGAUAUGCUUUGACUCAAGUCUUAGAGUAAAGCUGCCCCUUGAUGUGAUAUCCCCCCUAAGAUGGAUAAACUAACCUUGUGUUUUGUCGUAGAAGACUUCAUGUAGGUGUAGUAGUGGUGGAUGCUCAUAGUUGAUGAAGAUUAUCUUAAGUUGGGAGCAAUCCUUGUUGUUUCGUACCGUUCUCACCUACAUGGUUUAGUUCCACACAAGGAACAAAUACAAGAAUAUCUAUGGACAUUGAGUGAAGUGCAUAUGAGAUGAUGUCCAUUGAUACGUUAAUUACUGUGUCACUUGCUUACCUUUGAGGGAAUAUGCUACUCCUUGAACUAAUGCCUAGGGUUGGAGUUGAUUGCAAAUAGUACUUGCCAAAAAGAAUAAGAGAAAAUUUUGUUGGCAGAGUCACCCCUCAAGAAUUCUCUAGUUUUUCUUCUUAGGAACCCACAUAAACUUGAUGGGGAUCCUUGGAGUUUAGGUAGCGCUUGAUGAAGUCGAGCUAGUGGCGGCCUUCGGAAUUCAUUUGACCAUUGCUUCGGAUAAUUCUUCAAAUGAGUCAAUCUCCUCCUGAAGCUUCUCCUUCCUCUUGAGCUUGUGGUCUUGUGGUGGAAGGUCACCUUGAGUAUUUGUUCCCUUGGGGAGAGUAGGAUCAUACUUCUCCUUUUGAGGAACAAACUACAGAAUGGGGUAUUGACCUUCUUCCAAUUCAACUACAUUGGAAUUGAAGUAGCCAAUGGCUUGUUUCUUUCGAUGUCCUUUUUGCUUGAGUAUAAUAUCCUCGAAUUACUUACUUCUAGAAAGAAUGUUGAAGACACCUCUCUCUCUAAUUCCUUUCAAUAAAUUGUUUUGUUGCUCAAGUGUCAGUUGGAUAAGAGAAUCAUUAGUGGAAUCAAUAAAGCUACUAGUAACUGUUGGGGAACGAUGCAUGGGAAACAAACAUUUCUACGCACAUGAAGACCUGUCAUGGUGAUGUUCAUCUACGAGAGGGAGAUCGGAUCCACAUACCCUUGUAGAUCGCUAAGCGGUAAGUGUUAAGAAACACGGUUGAUGUAGUGGUACAGAUUUGUGAUUCAAAUCACCGUCGUUCCGCGUUCCGUUCCGAUCUAGCGCCAAACGGACGGCACCUCCGCGUUCAGCACAUGUAAAGCACGAUGACGAUCUCCGCCUUCUUCAUCCAGCAAGAGAGACGGGGAAGUAGAUGAGUUCUCCGGUAGCGUGACGGCGUGCCGGUGAUGGUGAUGAUCUAUUCCUGCAGGGCUCCGCCCGAGCUCCGCAGAAAACUGAUCUAGAGGAAGAACUGCGAAGUAGAGGUUUGAGUUGCACGUGGCAAAGUUGUGUUUCAAAAACCCUAAAACCUCUAAUAUAUAUAGGAGGAGUGGAGGGGCUAGCCUUGGGGCUCAAGUGAUCCCCAAGGGCACCGGCCGAGAGAGGAGAGGAGGACUCCAACUCCAAUUCGGUUUGCGGAAGGAGGAGGAGUCCUCUUCCUUCCCACUUCCUCUUUUUUUUUUGGUUUUUUCGUAGCGCCAUAGCCCACUUGGACUGGCCUCACGAGCCCACUAAGGGCUGGUGCGGCACCCUUGGGCUCUUAGGCUCACUGCCGGGUGGGUGUGCCCCUCCCGGUGAAAACCCGGAACCCAUUCGUCACUCCCGGUACACUGUCGGUAAUGCCAGAAAUCUUUCCUGAGACCAAAUGAAACCAUGCUAUAUAUCUAUAUUCGUUUCUGGACCAUUCCGGAAACCCUCAUGAUGUCCGUGAUCUCAUCCGGGACUCGGAACAACCUUCGGUCACCAACACCUAUAACUCAAUUAUACCGAAACGUCAUCGAACCUUAAGUGUGCAGACCAUGCGGGUUCGAGAACUAUGCAGACAUGACCUGAGACACUCCUCGGUCAAUAUCCAAUAGCGGGACCUGGAUGUCCAUAUUGGAUCCUACAUAUUCUACGAAGAUCUUAUCAGUUGAACCUCUGUGCCAAGGAUUCAUAUAAUCUCGUAUGACAUUCCCGUUGUCCUUCGGUAUGUUACUUGCCCGAGAUUUGAUCAUCGGUAUCCCUAUACCUAUGUCAAUCUCGUUACCGGCAGGUAUCUUUACUCAUGUCGUAAUACAAGAUCGCAUGACUAACACUUGAGUCACAUUGCUUGCACGGCUUGUAUGUGAUGUUGUAUUACCGAGUGGGCCCCUAGAUACCUCUCUGUCACACGAAGUGACAAAUCCCAGUCUUGAUCCAUGCUAACUCAACGGACACCUUCGGAAAUACCUGUAGAGCACCUUUAUAGUCACCCUGUAACGUUGCGACGUUUGAUACAUACAAGGUAUUCCUCCGGUGUCAGUGAGUUACAUGAUCUCAUGGUCAUCGGAAUGAAUACUUGACACGCAGAAAACAAUAGCAACAAAAUAACACGAUCACAUGCGAUGUUUAUAAUUUGGGUCUUGUCCAUCACAUCAUUCUCCUAGUGAUGUGAUCCAGUAAUCAAGUGACAGCACUUGCAUAUGGUGAGAAAACAUUAACCAUCCUGGAUCAGCUGGCUAGUCUACUAGAGGCUUACUAGGGACAUUGUUUUGUCUUUAUAUCCACACAUGUAUCUAUGCUUUCAUUCAAUACAAUUAUAGCAUGGAUAAUAAACGUUUAUCUUGAAACAAGAAAUAUAAUAAUAACUAUUUUAUCAUUGCCUUUAGGGCAUAUUUUCAACAGUCUCCCACUUGCACUAGAGUCAAUAAUGUAGUCUCACAUCGCUAUGCGAUUUACAUUGGAAUGAAUCUAACACCCAUAAAGUUCUUGUGUUCAUCAUGCUUUUCUCGUGGAAGAAGUUUAGUCAGCGGAUCUGCAACAUUCAGAUUCGUGUGCACUUUGCAAAUAUUUACGUCCUCUCCUUCGACGUAGUCGCGGAUGAGGUUGAAGCGUCGUUUGAUGUGUCUGGUCUUCUUGUGAAACCUUGGUUCCUUUGCUAGAGCAAUGGCACCAGAGUUAUAACAAAAGAGAGUUAUUGGAUUUAGUGCACUCAGUACAACUCCAAGAUCCGUCAUGAACUGUUUCAUCCAUACACCCUCCUUAGCUGCCUCCGAGGCAGCUAUGUACUCCGCGUCACAUGUAGAAUCUGCUAUGACGCUUUGCUUGGAACUACACCAUCUUACCGCACCCCCAUUAAGAAUAAGUACGUAUCCGGUUUGAGACUUAGAGUCAUCCGGAUCAUUGUCAAAGCUUGCAUCGACGUAACCCUUUACGACGAGCUCUUCAUCACCUCCAUAAACGAGAAACAUUUCCUUAGUCCUUUUCAGGUACUUCAGAAUAUUCUUGACCGCCGUCUAGUGAUCCACUCGUGGAUUACUUUGAAACCUGCCUGCGAUACUUAUGGCCAGGCUGACGUCCGGUCUUGUGCACAACAUUGCAUACAUGAUAGACCCUAUGGUUGAAGCAUAGGGGACGGUACUCAUCUUUUCUCUAUUUCCGCAGUUACUGGACACUGAGUCUUACUCAAUUUUUUACCUUGUAACACUGGCAAGAACCCCUUCUUGGACUGCACCAUUUUGAACUUCUUCAAAACUUUAUGAAGGUAUGUGCUUUGUGAAAGUCCUAUUAGGCGUCUCGAUCUAUCCCUAUAGAACUUAAUGCCUAAUAUGUAAGCAGCUUCUCCUAGGUCUUUCAUUAAAAACAUUUGUUCAAGUAAUCUUUUAUGCUCUUUAAAACUCCACAUUGUUUCCAAUUAGCAAUAUGUCAUCCACAUAUAAUAUUAGAAAUGCUACAGAGCUCCCACUCACUUUCUUGUAAAUACAAUAUUCUCCAACAACUUGUAUAAACCCAAAUGCUUUGAUCACCUCAUCAAAACGCUUAUUCCAACUCCGAGAUGCUUGCACCAGUCCAUAAAUGGAUCGUUGGAGCUUGCAUACUUUUAUAGCAUUCUUCGGAUCGACAAAACCUUCGGGUUGCAUCAUAUACAACUCUUCCUUAAGAAAACCAUUAAGGAACGUCAUUUUGUCAUCCAUCUGCCACAUUUCAUAAUCGAAAAGUGCAACUAUUGCUGACAUGAUUCGGACGGAAUUGAGCAUGGCUACCGGUGAGAAUGUUUCAUCGUAGUCAACUCCUUGAACUUGUGAAAAACCCUUUGCCACAAGUCAAGCUUAAUAAACGGUCACGUUAUCGUCCGCGUCUGUCUUCUUCUUAAAGAUCCAUUUGUUCUGAAUAGCGUUGCGACCUUCGGGGAAUACUUCCAAAGUCCACACUUUGUUUUCAUACAUAGAUCCUAUCUCGGACUUCAUGGCCUCUAACCAUUUGUUGGAAUCCGGGCCCACCAUUGCUUCUUCAUAAUUCACAGGUUCAUUGUUGUCUAACAACAUGAUAGAUAAAACAGGAUUACCAUACCACUCAGGAGUAGUACGUGAUCUUGUUGACCUGCGAGGUCGGAUAGUAACUUGAUCUGAAGCUUCGUGAUCAUCAUCAUUAGCUUCCUCCUCAACCGGUGUUGCCUCGAUAGAGAUUUCUCUCUACCCUGCGCCACCAUCUAGAGGGAGCAGAGGUUCCACAACCUCAUCAAGUUCUAUCUUCCUCCCACUCAAUUUUUUCGAGAGAAACUCCUUCUCAGGAAAAGCUCUGUUCUUAGCAACGAACACUUUGCCCUCGGAUCUGAGAUAGAAGGUGUACCCAACCAUCUCUUUUGGGUAACCUAUGAAGAUGCACUUUUCCGCUUUGGGUUCCAGUUUUUCGGGCUAAAGCUUUUUGACAUAAGCAUCACAUUCCCAAACUUUAAGAAACGACAACUUUGGCCUCUUGCCAUGCCAUAGCUCAUAUGGUGUCGUCUCAACGGAUUUUGAUGGUGCCCUAUUUAAAGUGAAUGUGGCUGUGUCUAAUGCAUAACCCCAAAACGAUAAUGGCAAAUCGGUAGAGACAUCAUAGAUCGCACCAUAUCUAACAAAGUACGAUUACGAUGUUCGGACACACCAUUACGCUGUGGUGUUCUAGGCGGUGUCAACUGUGAAACGAUUCCACAUUGUCUUCAGUGAGCAUCAAACUCGAAACUCAGAUAUUCACCCCCUCAAUCAGAUCAUCGGAACUUGACCUUCUUGUUACAAUGAUUUUGAACUUCACUCUGAAAUUGCUUGAACUUUUCAAAUGUUUCAGACUUGUGCUUUAUCAAGUAGAUAUAUCCUUACCUACUUAAAUCAUCAGUGAAGGUGAGAAAAUAAUGAUAUCUGUUGUGCACCUCCACACUCAUUGGACCGCACACAUCAGUAUGUAUGACCUCCAACAAGUCACUUGAACGCUCCAUUGUUCCAGAGAACGGAGUCUUAGUCAUCUUGCCCAUGAGGCAUGGUUUGCACGUGUCAAGUGAUUCAAAAUCAAGUGACUCCAAAAGCCCAUCAGUAUGGAGUUUCUUCAUGCGCUUUACUCAAUAUGACCUAAUCGGCAAUGCCACAAAAGAUGGCACUAUCAUUAUUAACUCUACAUAUUUUGGUCUCAAUGUUAUGUAUAUGUGUGUCAUCACAAUCAAGAUUCAAUAUGAACAAACCCCUCACAUUGGGUGCAUGACUCACAAAAAUAGAGCAACCAUUAUUCUCUGACUUAAAUGAGUAACCUUCUCGCAAUAAACAAGAUUCGUAUAUAAUGUUCAUGCUUAACAAAGGCACUAAAUAACAAUUAUUUAAGUUCAUAAAUAAUCCUGAUGGUAACGGAAGUGAGACUGUGCCGACGGCGAUUGCAUCAGCCUUGGAACCAUUUCCCAUGCACAUCGGCACUUCAUCCUUCGCCAGCCUUCGUUUAUUCCGUAGUCCCUACAUCGAGUUGCAAAUAUGAGCAACAUAACCAGUAUCAAAUACCCAGGCACUACUACGAGAGUUGGUUAGAUACACAUCAAUAACAUGUAUAUCACAUAUAACUGGUUUGGCGUUGGCCGCCUUCUUAUCAGCCAAAUACUUGGGGCAGUUGCGCUUCGAGUGACCCAUCCCCUUGCAAUAAUAGCACUCUGUUUUCGGCUUAGGUCCAGCCAUGGGUGUCUUCGUCGGAUUGGCAAAAGUUUUUCCGCUCUUCUUGCAGUUACCCUUCUUGCGUUUGCGGUUUCCCUUGAAACCAGUCGUAUUAUUGACUGUCAACACUUGAUGCUCUUUCUGGAGUUCUGACUUUGCGACUUUCAGCAUCGUGAAUAACUCGCUGGGUGACUUGUUCAUCCCUUGCAUGUUAUAGUUCAACACAAAGCUCUUGUAGCUAGGUGGCAGUGAUUGAAGAAUUCUGUUAGUGAUAGCAUCUUGCGGGAGUUCAAUCCCCAGCUCAGCUAGACGGUUUGAGUACCCAGACAUUUUGAGCACAUGUUCACUGACAAACGAAUUCUCAUCCAUCUUGCAAGCAUAGAAUUUAUCACAGGUCUCAUACCUCUCGAUCCGGGCAUUCUUCUGAAAGAUAAACUUCAACUCUUGGAACAUCUCAUAUGCUCCAUGACGUUCAAAGCGUCGUUGAAGUCCCGAUUCCAAGCCAUACAAGACUGCACAUUGAACUACUGAGUAGUCCUCCUUACGUGAUUGCCAAGAGUUCAAAACAUCUUGGUCAGACGUAGCGGGUGGUUCAUCUCCUAGUGCAGCAUCAAGGACAUAAUUCUUUUUCCCAGCUUGUAGGAUGACCCUAAGAUUACGAGCUCAGUCUACAAAGUUGCUACCAUCAUCUUUCAGCUUAGCUUUCUCUAGGAACGUAUUGAAAUUCACGGUUGCUACUACGUGAGCCAUUGAUCUACAACAUAAAAUAUUGCAAAGUGGAAUUAGACUAUGUUCAACACAAUUAGAGUUUUAACUAAUCAAAUUACUAAUAAACUCCCACUCAAAUAGACAUCCCUCUAGUUACUUGAGUGUGGCAUGAUCCAAAUUUAAUAGUUCAAAUCCGAUCAUCACGUGAGUUGAGUGUAAUUUCAGUGGUAAACAUCUCUAUGCUAAUCAUAUCAACUAUACGAUUCAUGCUCGACCUUUCGGUCCCUUGUGUUCCGAGGCCAUGUCUGCACAUGCUAGGCUCGUGAAGUUUUAACCCGAGUGUUUCGCGUGUGCAACUGUUUUGCACCCGUUUUAUGUGAAAGUUGAGUCUAUCACACCCGAUCAUCAUGUGGUGUCUCGAAACGACGAACUGUUGCAACGGUGCACAGUCGGGGAGAACAAAAUUGUAUCUUGAAAUUUAGUGAGGGAUCACCUUAUAGUGUUAUCGUCGUUCUAAGCAAGAUAAGGUGCAUAAAAGGAUUAACAUCACAUGCAAUUAAUAAGUGACAUGAUAUGGACAUGAUCCUGUGCUUCUUGAUCUCCAUCACCAAAGCACCGGCAUGAUCUUCAUCGUCACCCAUGCCACACCAUGAUCUCCAUCAUCGUGCCGCCAUCGAGGUUAUCGUGCUAUCUAUGCUAUUACUACUAAAGCUACAACCUAGCAAUAUAGUAAACGCAUCUGCAAACACAAACGUUAGUUUGAAGACAACCCUAUGGCUCCUGCUAGUUGCCGUAGCAUCAACGUGCAAGUCGAUAUUAACUAUUACAACAUGAUCAUCUCAUACAUACAAUAUAUCACAUCAUGUCUUUGGCCAUAUCACAUCACAAGCAUACCCUGCAAAAACAAGUUAGACAUCCUCUAAUUUGUUGUUACAUGUUUUACGUGGAUGCUAUGGGUAUCUAGUAUGAUCGCAUCUUACUUACGCAAAAACCACGACAGAGAUGUGUAGAUUGCUAUUUAACCUCUCUCCAAGGACCACCUUGGUCAAAUCCAAUUCAACUUAAGUUGAAGAAAAAGGCACCCGCGAGUCAUCUUUAUGCAACGAGUUGCAUGUUUGUCGAUGAAACCGGUCUCUCGUAAACGUACGAGUAAUGUUGGUCCGGGCCGCUUCAAUCCAACAAUAUCGCCGAAUCGAGAAAAGACUAAGGAGGGCAGCAAAUCGAACAUCAACGCCCACAAAAACUUUUGUGUUCUAUUCGAGAUUACAUCUACGCAUGAACCUAGCUCAUGAUGCCACUGUUGGGGAACAUUGCAUGGGAAACAAAAAAAUUCCUACGCACACGAAGACCUAUCAUGGUGAUGUUCAUCUAAGAGAGGGAGAUUGGAUCCACAUACCCUUGUAGAUCGCUACCGGGAAGCGUUGAGAAACGCGGUCGAUGUAGUGGUACAACUUCGUGAUUCAAAUCACCGUCGUCCCACGAUCCGUUCCGUUCUAGCGCCGAACGAAGGGCACCUCCACGUUCCGCACACAUCCAGCUCGAUGACGAUCUCUGCCUUCUUGAUCCAGAAAGAGAGACAGGGAAGUAGAUGAGUUCUCCGGCAGUGUGACAGCAUGCCGGUGAUGGUGAUGAUCUAUUCUUGCAAGGCUCCGCCCGAGCUUCGCACAAAAGUGAUCUAGGGGAAGAACUACGAAGUAGAGGUUUGAGUUGCACGUGGCAAAGUUGUCUCUCAAAAAUCCUAAAACCUCUAGUAUAUAUAGGAGGAGGGGAGGGGUUGCCUUGGGGCUCAAGGGAGCCCCAAGGGCGCCGGCUGAGAGAGGAGAGGAGGACUCAAACUCCAAUUCGGUUUGUGGAAGGAGGAGUCCUCCUCUUUCUUCCCACCUCCCUCUUUUUUUUCUUUGCUUUUAUUUUUCCUAGCGUCAUAGCCCACUUGGGCUGGCCUCACCAGCCCACUAAGGGCUGGUGCGCUACCCUUGGGAUCUUAGGCUCACUCCCGGGUGGGUGGCCCCCUCCCGAUGAAAACCCGGAACCCAUUCGUCACUCCCGGUACACUGCCGCUAAUGCCCGAAAUCUUUCCGGAGACCAAAUGAAACCAUCCUAUAUAUCAAUCUUCGUUUCCAAACCAUUCCAGAAAGCCUCAAGACUUACGUGAUCUCAUCUGGGGGGGGGGGGGGGGGUACCAACUCCUAGAACUCAAUUAUACAGAAACAUCACCAAACCUUAAGUGUGUGCAGACCCUGCGGGUUCGAGAACUAUGCAAACAUGACCAGAGACACUCCCCGGUCAAUAUCCAAUAGCGGGACCUGGAUUUCCAUAUUGGUUCCUACAUAUUCUACGAAGAUCUUAUCAGUUGAACCUCUAUGCCAAGGAUUCAUAUAAUCCCGUAUAACAUUCCCUUUGUCCUUGGGUAUGUUACUUGCCCGAGAUUUGAUCGUCGGUAUCCCUAUACCUAUUUCAAUCUCGUUACCGGCAAGUAUCUUUACUCAUUCCGUAACACAAGAUACCGUGACUAAUACUUGAGUCACAUUGAUUGCAAGGCUUGUAUGUGAUGUUGUAUUACCGAGUGGGCCCCGAGAUACCUCUCCGUCACACAGAGUGACAAAUCCCAGUCUUGAUCCAUGCUAACUCAACGAACACCUCUGGAGAUACCUGUAGAGCACCUUUAUAGUCAUCCAGUAAUGUUGUGACGUUUGAUACACACAAGGUAUUCCUCCGGUGUCAGUGAGUUACAUGAUCUCAUGGUCAUAGGAAUGAAUACUUGACACGCAGAAAACAAUAGCAACAAAAUAACACGAUCACAUGCUACGUUUAUAAUUUGGGACUUGUCCAUCACAUCAUUCUCCUAAUGAUGUGAUUCAAUUAUCAAGUGACAACACUUGCAUAUGGUCAGAAAACCUUAACCAUCCUUCAUCAACUGGCUAGUCAACUAGAGGCUUACUUGGGACAUUGUUUUGUCUAUAUAUCCACACAUGUAUCUAUGCUUUCAUUCAAUACAAUUAUAGCAUGGAUAAUAAACGUUCUUGAAAUAGGAAAUAUAAUAAUAACUAUUUUAUCAUUGCCUCUAGGGCAUAUUUCCAACAGUAACAACAUCAUUUGAUUUGGAAUUUGUGUUGUUGUUACUAGAUGAAUAAACUUUCUUGCCUUUGUUACUAGCUUGAUUAGAUUUAAAUUGUGUAACAAAAGUAGACAAGAGUAAUCAUUUGGCUAGAUAAGAGGAACUCUUGUUUCGAAUAUCACUAUUAAUUGCUUUAAGAAACUCAUGCUCUUGCUCUAAAUUUAGCUUCUUGAUGCGUAGCUUCUCAUGAAUGCUUGCAAUCUCUCUAUGAUCUUUGAGAGUAGAUUCAUGGCCUAACUUAAGAGUGUUUAAGUCUUUAGUUAGAUGCUCAAUGUCCUUGUUAUCAUCAUCACAUGACUUAUCUUGACUAACAUAAUUAUAAUCAAGUUCAUUUUCAUUGAUAUCACUAGUUUUAUCAAAGAGCAAGUCAUCAUCUCCAAGUAAGUCAUCCUCAUCACUAUUAAAGUCAAAGUACUCGGGGUGUGAUACCUUGGGGCCUUUAGCCAAGAAGCAGUUUUGUAAGUGCAUCUAGUGCCCCUUAGUGAUUUGGUGGUUUGAAUACUUAUAGGUUAAGAGAAUAAUAUAUUUGUGAGUGUACACAUGCUCUAUAAGUCCCUAAGGAGUUUGAGUUAUAUGAUGAAUAUCGACCCAUAAAAAUGAAUGUCUUCGGCUGAAGACUUUUGGUCUUACCUUGAAGAAUUUGAUCACGAAGAAAUUGCGAUGAAAUUGAUAUUUCACAUGAAGAUAUUGAAGAUGAGGAAUUCGGUGUGUCUUGAAGAAAACAGUUUGAAGACUUUGAAGCGUGAAGAUUUACACUUUUUGUUUCAUUUUCUUCACUAUUGAGUAAUAGGAACAUAGUAUUCUUAAAGGGGGUCGAGGUGAAACUACGGAAUGAUUUUCCUCAUGAUGCGCAACCUAAUCCUAAACCUACCAAAGCCUCAUAAUGAGGAAUAUGAGAGACAUGAGGACUUUCAUAGUUGAAAGUUCUGACCGUUGCCGCGACACGCGCCACCUCACGGAACAGUCACAUUACAUAAGGGCAUUUAUGUCAAAUCAUGUUGGGAUGCUCCGAGGCUAUAAAUAACCCCACCCCCCUCAACCACUUGCUGGUUGGCUGCUACGAGAGAAACUGACACUUGUCAUUUAGAGCAACCCAAAUUCCUCAGAGUCCUCGAGAGAAAAUCAUCAAGUGAGGAAAUACCCUAAACACCAAACCACAAACCAAUAAAAAAGUGAUUGAGCAUCACUGAAGAAAUUGUUCAUGUGUGGAACUGAAGUCUGUUACCUUUGAGGACUGUGCAUCCUCCAGACGGUUAGGCGUUAUGGUCUAGAGCAUCCAGCCGUCAAUUGUGGAUCGUCGGGUGACCGAGUUUGUGAGGGUUUGGAAGUAUGCCAUGAAGACUUACGACGAGUGUUUGGCGAUGACUGUGUGUCCUUAGCUCAAGGAGAAUACGGUAGGGACUAUGUGUCCCUGGACUGUGUGUCCUUUGGUUUCAAUACCAAGCCGCUCUAAACCAGACGUACAAUUGUCACAGCAGUUGGAACUGGGUCAUCAACAACUGUCUCCAUCGUGAUAGGUGUUCUAUUUCUUCAACUCUUUCAUUUUCUAAAAUUGUAUGUUGAAGACUAUGAUAUGCACUGUGUGAAGAAUUUGUCUAAAGACUUUCUGUGAAUUUCCUCAACCUCAAAUUCUUCACUUAAGAUAAUCUUCACCUACUUACUCUGUACUUGCGAACUAGGCAAACCGAAUCUCAUAAUCCUCAACAAGUAAUCUGCUAUUGAAGUUUUUGCACACCUGAUCAUGUACUACUUCUGCUGCACUUAAUUCAUUAUUGAGGACAUUCCUCACAAGGAAUUUCCUCAGCGAUGAAAUUAUAAAAAUCGCCUAUUCACCCCCCUCUAGUCGAUAUAACGCACUUUCAAUUGGUAUUAGAGCAAGGUACUCCCUUGUUCUGUGUGAUUUUGGUUUAACCACGUGUAGUUUUAGUUAUGCCAACCGCAUGUAUGAUCAAAGUUACUGCAGGAAGUCCUACCUUUGAAAGAAAGGAUUUUCCCUACUGGAAGACAAAGAUGCAGAUGCAUCUUCAGGCUAUUGACAAUGAUCUCUGGUAUAUUGUGGUAAAUGGUAUUCUCUCCGUUGCUGCUACUGUCUCUACCGCUGAUGUGAAUAAAUUCAAGCAACUUCACUCUCAAGUGAAGAAUAUCAUCUGCGGCCAUCUGAGCAAAGGUCAGUAUGGCAGAGUGAGUGAUUUGAGCACAACGAAGCAUAUCUAGGAUAGGUUGUCCAAAGUCAAUGAAGGAAUCUCAACUCAGCGUGACUCUCGUGUUGAUGUUCUUCGCAAUAUCUUCAAUCACUUCAAGAGGCUUGACAAUGAAAGUUGCCAAGAUAUCUUUAAUCGCCUCACUGACAUCCCAAAUGAACUACAAGCACUGGGAGCUCGAGACAUCACUGACCAUGAAUUGUGAAGAAACUGCUAAGAUCUCUUGAUCCAUCUUUUGAUACACUAGUUCUAAUGAUUCAAGAACGAGGAGACUAUAAGAUGCUUGAUCCUACUGAUAUACUUGAAAGACUCAAUACUCAUGAAUUCUAACAGGAAGAAAAGAGAGAUCUGUAUGGACCAAGCUACUCAAGACCUCGUGCGCUGAAGGCUAAAUAAAUUUCCUCAUGUGAACAAGAAGACUCAAAUUGCAGCAUUGGUGACCCUGAAGAACUUGGACAAGAGGUUUCUAUGCUUGUGAGGAAAUUCCAGAAGUUCACAUAGCGUGGCCAGUUUGGGAAAUCUUCAAGAAGAGAUAUGAGGAAAUCAGAAUCUUCAUCUCAGGAUUACAAGAAAAGAACCUGUAAGAAAUCUGGCCACUACAUAGCUGAUUGUCCUUGCUUGGUGAAUGAAUCAAAGAAGAAGAAAUAUAAGGAUGAAAGAUCUGAUGACUCGAAGAAAAAGAAGAAAUCUUCAAAAUCCUCAUCCUCAAACUCCUCAUCGCACAAGAACACCAGUUUCAGAAAGUCUUGGGCACUCAUUGGGAAGGAAAUGGAUUCUGAGGAAGAAUCUGAGGAAUUUGAUGAAGAGAAAGGUUCUGAAGAAGAUUCAAAGUAUGGUGUGGCAAGUCUUGCACUGGCUACCACAUUCGUCAACAAGUCAAUUUUCAUCCUUGAAGAAAAUGACAACGCUAUCUACACUGAUGAAUAUGCUGAUGACUUUGCUCCAACCUAUUGCUUCAUGGAAAAAGGUUCAAAGGUACACAAUGAUACUUCCUCCUCUGACUCCAGUGACUAUGAACCUCAUGAUUAUAAAAAACCCAGUUACAGUAAACUUGCCAACAUUGCGACUAACCAACAAAGUGCCAUUGAAAAGCUUCAGAAACUGCUAGACAGAAGCGAUGAUCUGUUGAAUAAUGAAAUGAAUCGUACUCAAGUUUUUACUGAAGAUGUGAAAAGUCUUCAGUCUAGAUUUGAUAGUCUUCAAGAUAGUUAUGGCACACUCUUGGCUAAUCAAGAAAAACUUUCCUAUGAUUUUUUUCAAUGGAAACUUGAUCUUGAGAAGUUGAAGAUGUCUCAUGAUGAUCUUCGAAUGGAAAAUGAUUCAUUAGUUGCUCAAUAGAUCAGUGUCGCUCAGGUUUAAUUCAUUCCACCAUGUUUGAAAUGCAUAGAACAUGAAACUGCUAAUUCUUCACCAGAAUCAUCAAAUGCUUCUAUCGCUACAAAUACUUCAACUGUCCCUGUGGUAUCAAGUUCUUCACUUGAAGAAACCACAAAUGCUACUUACGAACAUGCAGGGCCGAAGGAAUUGUAUGUGACAGACAUAUACAAAAGUCCCAAAGGGCAUCAAACCCUUUACGACGUGUCAAAAAGAAGAUUUUGAACAGGAACCCGAGGAAAGAAGGAAUUGCCUUCGAGAUGAAAUUGAAUGAAGAUGGAUCAUACUAGAAACCUAGGCAGUACCUGCUACUGCAACAAAAGACCUUCCAAUGGCGCCAGAAACACGUGCUGAGAGGAGACUGUUCUUAUCCGGAUUCUCCUCAGCAGCGGCACCAGGAAUCCUUCUGCUACGGCUACGCCUUUAGGGAUUUCCAAGGCAAAUAUGCAAAGGAUUUCCCUGUGGCCUUGGAGUCUUGCGUUGGUGUUCCCUCAAAGCGGAAAGGGUGAUGUAGCGCAACGGUGGUAAGUAUUUCCCUCAGUUUUGAGAACCAAGGUAUCGAUCCAGUGAAGGAGUAUCACAAGUGCCUGCACAAACACAAAGAACCUCCUCCCAAUGCUAUGAAGGGGUUGUCAAUCCCUUACAGAUUGUUCGCAAAGUGAGAACUGAAAUCAACAAAGUAAAAAAGCAAAGUAAAAGCGGAGAUGUAAACGAUAGAUGUGAAUAGACCCGGGGCCAUAGUGUUUACUAGUGGCUUCUCUCAUGAAAGCAAGUAGACGGUGGGUGAACAAAUUACUGUCGAGCAAUUGAUAGAACCGCGCAAAGUCGUGACGUCAUCUAUGGCAAUGAUUAUAUCUAUAGGAAUCACGUCCAAAACAAGUAGACCGAUACUUUCUGCAUCUACUACUAUUACUCCGCACGUUGACCGCUAUCCAGCAUGCAUCUAGUGUAUUAAGUCCAAAAGAACAGAGUAACGCCUUAAGCAAGAUGACAUGAUGUAGAUGGACAAUCUCAUAUCAACGACAGAGCCCACCUUGUUACCCUUGAUGGAAACUACUCAAUGUGUGCCUUGCUGCCCCUACUGUCACUGGGAAAGGUCUCCACACAGUAAGAACCCAAAACCAAGCACUUCUCCCAUUGCAAGAAUCAUAGAUCUAGUUGGCCAAACAAAAACGAAGACUUGGAGAGACUUACAAGGAUAUCAAAUCAUGCAUAUAAGAAAUCAGCAAAGACUCAAAUAUAUAUCAUAGAUAAUCUGAUCACAAAUCCACAAUUCAUUGGAUCUCGACAAACACACCGCCAAAGAAGAUUACAUCGGAUAGAUCUCCAUGAAGAUCAUGGAGAACUUUGUAUUGAAGAUCCAAGAGAGAGAAGAAGCCAUCUAGUUACUAACUACGGACCCGUAGGUCUGAAGUGAACUACUCACGAGUCAUUGGAGGGGCGAGGAUGAUGACGAAGAAGCCCUCCAACUCCAAAGUCCCCUCCGGCAGGGCACUGGGAAGGGUCUAUAGAUGAGAUCUCGCGGAAACGGAAGCUUGCGACGGCAGAAAAGUAUUUUCGUGGAUCCCUUGAUUUUUUUCUGAUUUUUAGGGAAUAGAUAGGCGCAAGAUGUAGGUCAGGGGGCGCUAGGGAGGCCACAAGCCGGCCCACCGCCGCCUCCCCCUGGUGGCGGAGUGGGGGCUUGUGGGCUCCCUGUAGCCCUCCUGGCUUGGGCCACAGGCCCCCUGAUCUUCUUCCGUUCGCGAAAAAAUCAUUUCGGGGAUUUUAUUCCGUUUGGACUCUGUUCCAAAAUCAGAUCUGAAAAGAGCCAAAAACACGGAAAAAACAGGAACUGGCACUUGGCACUAAAUUAAUAAGUUAGUCCCAAAAAAGAUAUAAAAGGUAUAUAAAACAUCCAAAGAUGACAAGAUAACAACAUGAAACCAUCAAAAAUUAUAGAUACGUUUGAGACGUAUGAGUACCCCAAAACCUCAUAGGUUGCUCGUAAAGGUCCUCCCGUCGAUCCAUCCACUCUAACACGUUUGCAUGUGAAAUACCCUAUUCCUCAGAUGAGUCAUUUGACUCCAACUAUAAAAUGUUCAAAAAUCAAACUGGUGAAGUUUUUCCUCGAUACGUUGGAACUAAUUGCGGUAAUGGAUCACCCCUGAGGAAAAUCUGGGUCCCCAAAAGUUGUUUGGAAAAUCUUCACGUAAAUGUCCUCAUGACACGACCUGUGAAGAACCAGAAACCCAGAUCAAUUUCCUUAGGUGGACCAGAAUCUUCACGAGGAUCAAAAUCCUCAAAUGGCUGAUACCAUACUCGUACUCGCGCUAAUGCUUCUAAUAUGUAGGGAAAUUAUAGGGGACAUGAAUAUGAGCGUUAUUCCUCAAAUCAUUAUGUUCAUAAGUCCUCAAAGAAUUUCUCUCCCUAUUCAUUUGAGUACUCUAACCCCCUACUGUGAAAAUAAGUGCUUUAGCUUCAAUGCAUCCAUUCUCAUAUGGUGCUCACAGGAUGAUGAACUCCUUGCCACCCCUUCAGAUAUGGGUGGUGAAGAAAUUUAAGUAAUCACUUCUGCAGGUCAGGUCUCCAGAUGAAAGACAUCAUCUAAAGAAUUUGCUGGAGACCUGAGGAAAAUGCUUGAUUCGACGCAAGCUAAACUUGAUGAAAUGAUAACAUUUCACACGUCCUCAAGUUUAUUGUUUAUGAUGAAAUUCGUAUCUGAUAAAAUUGAUAUCAUAUUCUUCAAGUCUGACGCAUAUGAGAUGGUAAGCUGUACUAAUUCAUCCGCAGAAUGACAAACCCAAGAAUACAGAGUGGGUUCUUGACAGUGGUUGCACAAACCACAUGACAAGUGAUAAAAUAUUGUUAAUGAAUAUGCCACCGACUACAUCACCACUGAAGCAAAUCACGUGUGCUGAUAAAGGUAAAAGCAAGGUAUUGGGACUUGGCAAAGUGGCUAUCUCCAAGGACAGGCCCAUGGACAAAGUCAUGCUUGUCGAAUCCCUUGGGUUUAACCUCAUGUCAGUAUCAAUGCUUUGUAACCUUGAUAUGGUUGUUAUCUUUGGAAAAUACAGAUGCGUAAUCAUCAUGGAAUCUGACAAAUCCAAAGUCUUCGAAGGCUUUAGGAGAGGAGAUUUGUACAUUGUUGAUUUUUCCAUAGGUCCUCAACCAGCCACAUGCUCACUAGCAAAAACCUCAGAAGGACAGCUAUGGCAUCGACAUCUGGGUCAUGCAGGCAUGAGAAAUUUGCACACGCUAGCGAAGAAGAAGCAUGUCAUUGGCAUCGAACCAGUCAAAUUCCUCAAGGAUCAUCUCUGCAGUGCUUGUGAAUCUGGAAAGAUUACCAAAUCCAAACACCCCUCGAAGACUAUAAUGACUACUACUCGUCCGUUUGAAUUGCUUCAGAUGGAUCUCUUUGGACCUACUCAUUAUGCUACUCUAACAAAUGCAACAUCUUUAUAUGGCUUUGUCAUCGUUGAUGACUAUUCUCGCUAUACUUGGGUACACAUCAUUCUAUAUAAAACUGAAGUGCAGGAAGUCUUCAAAUAAUUUUCCUCAAGGGCCUCGACUAACUGUAGCGUCAAGAUCAAACACAUUAGGAGUGAUAAUGGGACAGAAUUCGAAAACACUAGUCUUGAUGAUUGUCUUGAUAAACUUUGUAUUACUCAAAAAUUAUCUGGUCCUUAUAAUCCUCAACAGAAUGGUGUCGUUGUACGCAAGAACAUGACUCUGGUAGAAUUGGCAUGAACUAUGCUUGAAGAAUAUCCGACUCCUUGUUGUUUCUGGCCUGAAACAAUCAAUACUGCUUGCCACAUCAUCAACAGGGUAUAUCUUCACAAAUUCCUCAAGAAAACCUCAUAUGAAUACCUCACUGACAAGAAACCAAAUGUAAGUUAUUUCAAAGUCUUCAGUGCAAAAUACUGGAUUAGAGAUCCUCACCAUAGCUCAAAGUUUGCACCUAAAGCACAUGAGGGUUUUAUGCUUGGUUACGGAAAGGACUCGCGCACCUACAGAGUCUUCAACACCUAUCACAACAAGGUUGUUGAAACUGUAGAUGUGCGGUUCGAUAAAACUAAUGGCUCGCAAAUAGAGCAAUUGCCUCCUAUGCGAGACAUAUUACCUCCUGAAGAAGCCAUCAAGCUCAAAGCCACUCAAGAUAUCAUUCCCACCGAGGAAAUUGAUGAAGAGAUCGUCCCCAACACUGAUGAAAUUCAAACAGGUGCACCUGAGGAAAUUGCUCCAGAUCAAAUUCCUCAGCCCAACCAAAGUCUUCAACCUGCUCAUCCAAGGAUUGCAAAUGAAGUAGAACUUGACAAAAUCCUCAAUGAAAUCAAUGCGCCAGGUCCUCUCACUCGCUCGAAAGCUUCACAUUUAGUUAACUUUUGUGGGCAUUCAUCUUUUGUGUCUAUCACGGAACCCUCAAAAGUUGUUGAAGCCUUCAUGGAACCUGAGUGGAUUCAAGCCAUGCAAUAUGAACUUCUUCAGUUCAAGCUAAAUGACGUGUGGGAACCCGUCAAACGACCAGAUCCUCGCAAGCACAAUAUCAUCAGCACCAAGUGGAUCUACCAAAACAAGCAAGUUGAGGAUGGUGAGGUAGUGAGGAAUAAGGCAAGACUUGUAGCCCAAGGCUACACACAGCUUGAAGGAAUUAGUUUCGAUGAAACUUUUGCACCUGUUCCUAGACUUGAAGCUAUUCAAAUACUAAUGGCUUAUGCUAAUCAUCAUAAUAUUACUCUAUAUCAAAUGGAUGUGAAAAGUGCAUUGCUCAAUGGUAAGAUUGAGGAAGAAGUAUAUGUUGCUCAGCCCCCAGGUUUUGAAGACCCGAAGCACCCUGACAAAGUCUUCAGACUCAAAAAGGCACUCUAUGGCCUCAAGCAAGCCCCUCGGGCGUGGUAUGAUACAUUGAAGGAAAUCCUCAUGAAGAAAGACUUCAAACCUGGUACACUUGAUCCUACUCUUUUCACAAAAUCCUAUGACAAUGAACUAUUUGUGUGCCAAAUAUAUGUCGACGACAUUAUCUUUGGUUGUACUGACAAACGUUAUAGUGAUGAAUUUGCUUACAUGAUGAGUGAAGAAUAUCAGAUGUCUAUGAUGGGGGAGCUGAAAUUCUUCUUAGGUCUUCAAAUUCGUCAACACAAUGGUAUCUUCAUAUCUCAAGAGAAAUACCUCAAGGAUGUCCUGAGGAAAUUCAACAUGCAUGAAUGCAAAGGCGUCAAGAUUCCUAUGAUUACCAACGGCCACCUCUACACUAACGAAAAUGGUAAAGAUUUCGAUAAGCAGGUAUAUCAUCCUAUGAUUGGUCUUUAUUGUACCUAUGUGCAUCUAGGCCAGAUAUUAUGCUUAGUGUUUGCAUGUGCGCUCGUUUUCAAGCAAAACUGAAGGAAUCACACCAUAAGGCUAUGAAACACAUUCUUCGAUACUUAGCUCACACACCAACACUAGGAUUAUGGUACCCCAAGGGCUCAAAUCUUCACCUCGUUGGAUAUUUUGAUUGUGAUUAUGUGGGUGACCAUGUGGAUCACAAUUCAACAUCAGGCACAUGCCAUUUCCUCGGAAGAUCAUUAGUUUGCUGGUCCUCAAAGAAGCAGAACUCUGUAUCACUCUCCAGUGUCGAGGCUAAGUACAUUGCUGCUGGAUCCUGCUAUGCUCAACAGCUAUGGAUGAAGCAAACCUUCAGAGACUACGAUAUCUACAUGAAGAAUGUUCUCCUCUACUGCGACAAUGAGAGUGCAAUCAAGAUCGCCUACAACCCAGUACAACACUCGAAGACUAAGCACAUCCAGAUUCGUCACCAUUUUCUUCGUGACCAUGUCCUCAAGGGCAAUAUCAUCAUCGACCAUGUGAAGACCUACAAUCAACUAGCAGGUAUCUUCACAAAGCCCUUGAAUGAGAGAAGGUUUUGCAAGUUGCGGUGUGAGCUAAAUAUCCUAGAGUCUUCAAAUAUUUUGUGAAAACAUGCACACAUCCUAACACUUAUGAAAAAAUUGAUGACUUAAAUGUGCAACACACGAAGAACCGAUUUUCUUCAAUGAAUGAAGAACAUCACUCUUAGUGUGAAGAAAUUAAUGAAGAAUAUGGUUCUCAGGGCCCUACGACAAUUGUACGCGGCCCUUGAAAUCAGCAUUCUUAUACGGUGGGUCACGCCACCACCCAACUUUGAAAUUCUUCAAGUUGCAAUUUUUUCAAAGUUGAAAUCUUCAAUUUGAGACUUUUCACAAAAUCCUCAAAAUUUUCGAAAUAUUCAAAGUUAUCAAUUUUUUCAAAACUCCGUGUGAUGAUAUUCAUUUGGCUAUACACNNCACACACACACAUUGACUUAUCGCUCGGUCUUGAAUUUGAUAUUUCCUCUAAGUGAAUGUGAUCGGACCCGACUCCCCUCUAUUCUAAGCUCAACCCAGUCCAUUCUAAAUUCUUCAUAUGCGUUCUAGUUAACACUUGUUCAAAAUCCUCACUGAGUCCUUGUCAGCUGAGGACUUUGCAACAAAAUCCUCAAAAUUAAAAAAUUGUUUUUAUAACGUCACAAAGUUACCAGACCCACUUCUCAUGAUCAGAUAACCACGGACUCCACCGCUUCAAUCUUGGGCACCACGUGUCACGCAAAGACGAAGGGGCAAGGGCAGUUCAGUCCAAAAGUUUUGGCCCGAAUAGUUUUUCACCUGAGCUAUAAAUACCCACUUACCCCCUUUAGUCAAAACUCUUCCUCCCUACCGUAGUCUCCGCUCGAACUCAAGCCCUAGCGCCACUGCUAGCAUCCUCGUCGGCGGUGAGGAAAAGCUUCAUGGCCUCGCCCUCGCCAUCGUCGAACUCACGCCGACCACGGAAAAUCUUCGUCCGCCGCUGCCGUAGCUGAUUUCAGUUGCCAAGUUAUGGCGCGGAAGAUCUGAACCGAAGAGCUUAUUCCUUUUACUCCUCCAGUUCUUCGGGUUAUUCGCACAAGGCAAAUAAAAUCAUGUUUUACUCCCUCUGUUGAUCUUUUAAAUCUCUUUGGAUUCACGGAAUCUUUUUUCCUCAGAAAGUCUGUCUGCCAUGCACACUCAUGCCUCAAACACUUGAUGAAUUUCACUAAGCCUCUAAAAUUCUUCAUGAGAUUCCUCAAUUGUGUAAUUCUCGAAUCUGCACAACUCUGGAACCCAAGAUCAGAAUGCUUAGUCAAAUUACUCAACUCGCUGCUCAAAUUCCUCAACUUUAAAAAAAAUGCAUAUGACCUCUCCAAAUUCUUCGCACCUAUACUCUGUUCACAGGUACAAAAUGUCAGCUGAUGAAUCUCUAGGUUCUCAUCAACUUAACUCAUUUGUAGAAUUUCUCGAAAAAAAUCUUACCUGUGUCUUCAGAAUCAUCAAGAGUUCAAAUUCCUCAGCAAAAUCCUCGGCUGAAGAAAAUGGACGAAGACCGGAAACAGAAAGGUGGAAAGAAGCUGGAACAGAAUACAACCUUUGAAAUCCCUAAAGAAAUAUAUGCUGAUUAUUGUACACCUGAUGAGGAAAUACAUGGUAAAGAGACCAUGGCAAACCGCAAAAUAAGCCUUCAAAAGAUUGAACGCCGGUGGGCUAAAGAAUGAAAGGAGUACAGAUAUGUGACUCCGAAAUACGCAAAGAAGUUCACCCUCAAGCCUCCGUGCAAAAGGCUGCCAAAGGGUGAUCAACAAGCAGCACAUCCCUCAAGUGUAGUCACUAUUGAGGACUAUCCUGAUGAGAAAGACAAAUACUUGUCUAAAUUACAGAAAAAGGCAAAAGCAGCUAUGAUGAAAUUCAGUGAGGACUCUGCUGCUGCAGCCACUACUGCUACUUAUUCAGCUGUUGAGGACUCUGCCACUGCAAUUCCUCAGAAGAAGGCUCUGCAAAAUAAACCAAAAGCUUCAACUGCAGCGACAGAAGAGAAAUUUCCUUAGAAGGUUGCACCGGCUACAAAAUCCUCAACUACAACAGAGUAUUCAACCCCACAGCACAAGCAGCUCAGUAAGACUCAACAUGAACAACCAAGUUCCUCAGUGCCAUCUGCUACUGGCUCUGCUUCAAAAUAUUCACUAAUUCUGCUGAAGACUAAGAUGACUGCUGGUAGAGGUACCUGAUACGUCUCCAACGUAUCUAUAAAUUUUGAUGGUUUCAUGCUAUUAUCUUGUCAAACGUUGGAUGUUUUGCAUGCCUUUUAUAUAUUUUUUGGGACUAACUUAUUAACUCAGUGCCAAGUGCCAGUUCCUGUUUUUCCAUGUUUUUGACCCCUUUCAGAAUAGAUUUUGAAACGGAGUCCAAACGGCAUAAAAUCCCCGAAAACAUUUUUUCCGUAACGGAAGAAGAUCACGAGACUUGAGAGCCAAGGCAGGGGGCCCCAGGGUCCCCACAAGCCCUCACCCCGCGGCCAGGGGGAGGUCGCGGCCCACAGGCUUGUGGGCCCCCUGGACCUCCUUUGCCCUAGGGUUUGCGCCUAUAUAUCCCCAAAAAUUCCACAAAAAAUCAAGAGAUCAUCGAAAGUACUUUUCCUCCGCCGCAAGCUUCUGUCUCCGCAAGAUCCCAUCUGGGGCACGUUUUGGUGCCCUGCCGGAGGGGGGAUUCGGACACGAAGGGCUUCUUCAUCAACACCAUGAUCUCUCGGAUGAUGCGUGAGUAGUUCACCAUAGACCUACGGGUCCAUAGCUAGUAACUAGAUGGCUUGUUCUCUCUCUUGGAUCUUCAAUACAAAGUUCUCCAUGAUCUUCAUGGAGAUCUAUCCGAUGUAAUCUUCUUUUACGGCGUGUUUGUCGAGAUCCGAUGAAUUGUGGAUUUAUGAUCAGAUUAUCUAUGAAUCUUAUAUGAGUUUCUUCUGANUACCGUGCGGUGACCUCACCCAGUGAUACAAGGGGUAGCGAGGCACGUAUCGUGUUGUUGCCAUCGAGGGUAAAAAGAUGGGGUUUUCAUCAUUGGUUUGAGAUUAUCCCUCUACAUCAUGUCAUCUUGCUUAAGGCAUUACUCUGUUCGUCAUGAACUCAAUACACUAGAUGCAUGAUGGAUAGCGGUCGAUGUGUGGAGUAAUAGUAGUAUAUGCAGAAAGUAUCGGUCUACUUGUCUCGGACGUGAUGCCUAUAUGUAUGAUCAUUGCCUUAGAUAUUGUCCUGACUUUGCGCGGUUCUAUCAAUUGCUCGACAGUAAUUUGUUCACCCACCAUAAUACUUGCUAUUUUGAGAGAAGGCUCUAGUGAACACUAUGGCCCCCAGGGUCUACUCUAUACCAUAUUUUCAGCCUUACACUUCUUACUUCGUUGCACUUUCCGCCUUCAGAUCUCACUUUGCAAACAAUCCUGAAGGGAUUGACAACCCCUUUACAGCGUUGGGUGCAAGCUCUUUUGUGUUUGUGCAGGUACUCUAGACUUGACGAGAUUCUCCUACUGGAUUGAUACCUUGGUUCUCAAACUAAGGGAAAUACUUACUACUCCUAUGCUGCAUCACCCUUUCCUCUUCAAGGGAAAAACCAACGCAAGCUAGUGUCCUUCAACGUGUCAAUUUCUGGAGCCUUUGUCUGAGAAGUAGCAGAAGGAUUUCUGGCGCCGUUGCCAGGGAGGAUCAAGUCAAGAACUCAUCCAAGUAAGUGUCGCAAACUCAUCUCUUGCAUUUACUUUGUUUGUCAGUUGCCUCUCGUUUUCCUCUCCCCCACUUCACCAAUUUGCCCUUUUCGUUUGCCUUUUUUGUUUGCCUUUCCUUUGCUUGUGGGCUAUGUGCCUUCGAUAUGCUUGCAUCUUCGCUUGCUGAAAGUCCAUUGAUAUGGAUCCUCAUCCACUUGCUAAUCCCUUUAAGAGAUCCAAUUAUGUUGAACCAAUUUCUAGUGAGUUGAGUGCACUUGACUUUCUUUAUGAAGUUUGGCUUGAGAUGCGUGAAUCUGAAAAUCAUAAUGAAGAGAUUUAUGAAGNAUUCACGAGGGCUCCUUGGAUGAAAAGCAUGAUUGCAAUGGUUUCACUAUGAAUUCUAUUAGUGACAAUCAUGCUAAAAAUAUGCAAAACCCCAAGCUUGGGGAUGCUAGUUUCGCUAUGUCCACUACUGGAUGCAAUGAUCAUGAUUGGGGUGAUGAUUUUUCUUAUGAUCCUCAAAAUUUGUUUAAGCCUCAUGAUGAAUAUGAUAUUUGCAAUAUUAUUGAAAGUGGGUUUGGAGAAGUCAUGACUUUAGUUGAUGAUAAUCCCACUAUUUUUGAAGAGCGUCAACUUUGCAAUCAUGUGGAUCAUGAAAAUAAUAUCCUUCGUGAUAACUACAUUGUGGAAUUUGAAUAUGAUCCCACAUGUAAUUGCUAUGAGAGAGGAAAAUAUUGUGGUAGAAACUUCCAUGUUACCAAAUUACCUCUCGUUAUGUUGAGAUUGCUAUUGUCUCUUUCUUCUUCCUUGCAUUUGGUAACUAUUGGUUGUCUUGCCAAUUUGUUUUCCUAUAAAAUGCCUAUGCAUAGGAAGUAUGUUAGACUUAGAUGUGAUUUUCACAUGUUUCAUGAUGCUCUCUUGGUGUCCGAUUGCUCUCUUUUGUGUGAGCAUCAUUGAAAUCCUUAUGCCUAGCUAAGGGCGUUAAACAAUAGCGCUUGUUGGGAGGCACCCAACGAAUUUAUCUUUUUCUUUCUGUUUUGUUGCAUCCACACUUCCAUAAUUCUAUUGUGGUUGUGUUUUUUGUGUUUCUUUUUGUGUUUGAGCCAAGCAAAACCUUUAUGAUUAGUCUUGGUAAUGGUCGUUUGAUCCUGCUGGAAAAAGACAGAAACUUUUCGCUCACGAGAUGAUUUUUCAUUUUUAAUCAAAAAGAGCUUUUGAGUUGAUUCUUUUUUCUUCUGGUUGAUAUGCCUUUUGCCUAGGCAGUCGUAAGUUUUCAGAAUUUUUGAUGUACGAGAAGUAUACAGAUUGCUACAAACUGGUCUGUUUUUGAUAGAUUCUGUUUUUGUUGAGUUGGUUGCUUGUUUUGAUGAAACUACGGUUAGUAUCGAGGGGUACUAGCCAUGGAAAAGUGAGAAUACAGUAUCCCAACACCAAUAUAGAUAGAAUUCAAGUUUGCUACACUACCAAAAGAAGUGGUAGUUUGUUUUCUUGUGCUAAUGUUAUCACGAUUUUCUGUUUAAGUUUUGUGUUGUGAAGUUUUCAAGUUUUGGGUGAUGUUCUCAUGCACAAAGAGAUAAGGAGUGGAAAGAGCUCAAGCUUGGGGAUGCCCAAGGCAUCCCAAGCCAAAUUCAAGGACACCAAAAAGCCUAAGCUUGGGGAUGCCCCGGGAAGGCAUCCCCUCUUUCGUCUUCAAUCCAUCGGUAACAUUACUUGGAGCUAUAUUUUUAUUCACCACAUGAUAUGUGUUUUUCUUGGAGCGUCUUGUAUCUUAGGAGCCUUUUAUUUUUGUUUUGUCACAAUCAUCCUUGCUGCACACCUUUUUGAGAGAGAAAUACAUGCACUCAUCUGAUUUUGCUAGAAUGCUCAUAGUGCUUCACUUAUAUCUUUUGAGCUAGAUACUUUUGCUCUAUGUGCUUCACUUAUAUCUUUUAGAGCACGGCGGUGCGUGACUUGGUAGUUGUCUUAUGCUAUGAAAAUAGUCCCAAAUGUGAUAGGUACCCAAAGAGGAUGCAAAACCUCCAUCUUCAUGUGUAUUGAGUAGAAAGAGAAGUCUUGAUUCCUCUCAAUUAGUUUUGAGACGUGGAUUCGGUAAUAUUAAGAGUUAUGUUAGUAAGGUGUUGUGAAUCUAGAAAUACUUGUGUUGAAGUUAGUGAUUCCCAUAGCAUGCACGUAUGGUGAACCGCUAUGUUAGGAAGUCGGAGCAUAAUCGAUCUAUUGAUUGUCAUCCUUUGUGUUGAGGUCGGGAUCGCGCGAUGGUUAACACCUACCAACCCUUCCCCUAGGAGUAUGCGUUUAGCACUUUGUUUUGAUUACUAAUAAAAACUUUCACAACAAGUAUGUGAGUUCUUUAUGACUAAUGUGAGUCCAUGGUAUAGAUGCACUUUCACCUUCCACCAUUGCUAGCCUCUCUAGUGCCGCGCAAUUCUCGCCGGAGCACAAACCCACCAUAUGCCUUCCUCAAAACAGCCACCAUACCUACCUACUAUGGCAUUUUCAUAGCCAUUCCGAGAUAUAUUGCCAUGCAACUCCCACCGUUCCGUCUCAUGACUUGUGUUGUCACUGUCAUAUCGCCCUUGCAUGAUCGUAAGAUAGCUAGCGAGAUGUUUCAGCGUCAUACGCCAUGCUAGAUCGUUGCACAUCCCGGUACACUGCUGGAGGCAUUUCCUAUAGAGUCAUUUCUAAGCUUUGAGCUGUGAGUUAAUAAAAGUGUGAUGAUCAUCAUUAUUAGAGCAUUAUCCCAUGUGAGGAAAUAAAAAAAAGAGGCCAAAUAGCCCAAAAAUAAAAAAAGGAGAAAAGAGAAAAAAAUAAGAAAAAAAGGCCUAAGAGCCCAAAUAAAAAAAAGAGAAAAAGAGAGACGGGACAAUGCUACUAUCUUUUUCCACACUUAAGCUUCAUAAUAGCAUCAUGUUCUUCUUGAUUGAGAGCUUCUUGCUUUGUCACCAUCAUAUGCUAGUGGGAAUCUUCAUUAUAUAACUUGGCUUGUAUAUUCCAAUGAUGGGCUUCCUCAAAAUUGCCCUAGGUCUUCGUGAGCAAGCAAGUUGGAUGCACACCCACUAGUUUUCCUUUUUGAGCUUUCACAUACUUAUAGCUCUAGUGCAUCUCUUGUAUGUCAAUCCCUACUCAUUCACAUUGAUAUCUACUAAUGGGCAUUUCAUAGCCUUUUGAUAUGUCUCUCUCUCUAGGUGUGCGGCAAGGAUGAUUGUGACACAACAAAAAUAAAAGGCUCCUACGAUACAACACGCUCCAAGAAAAAACACAUAACAUGUGGUGAAUAAAAAUAUAACCCCAAGUAACAUUACCGAUGGAUUGAAGACGAGAGAGGGCAUGCCUUCCCGGGGCAUCCCCAAUCUUAGGCUUUUUCGACAUCCUUGAAUAUCUUGGGGUGCCUUGGGCAUCCCCAAGCUUGAGCUCUUGUCACUCUUUAUCUCUUUGUCCAUAAGAACUUCACCCAAAACUUGAAAACUUCACAACACGGAACUUAAACAGAAACAGGUCAUAACAUUAGUAUGAGAAAGCAAACCACCACUUCCUUAGGUACUGUAGAAAACUUAAAUUCUACUUAUGGUGAUGUUGGGUUACUGUAUUUUCAAUAUUUCAUGGCUAAUACCCCCCAAUACUAUCCAUAGUUUCAUCAAAAUAAGCAACCAACACAACAAAAUCAGAAUCUGUUAACAGCAGACUAGUCUGUAGCAAUCUGUAUAUUUCGUAUACUUCUCGCACUUCAAAAAUUCUGAAAAAUUACAAUAGUCUGAAGAAUUUGCGUAGAAAUCAGUAGCAGAAAGAAUCGACUCAAAAGCUCUUACAGAAAAAAAUGGAAAUUCUUUUCGUGAGUAGAAAGUUUCUGUCUUUUCCAGCAUGACCAAACGAUCAUCCCCAAGACUAAUCAUAACGGUUUUGCUUGGCACAAACGCAAAAAGAAACACAAAAAACACAAUCGUAACAGAAUUAUGAAAGUGUGGAAAACACAAAAUAGAAACAAAAAGGAUAGAUUCGUUGGAUUGCCUCCCAACAAGCGCUUUUGUUUAACGCCCUUAGCUAGGCAAAAGGUGAUGCACACACAAAAGACAAGAAUUGAAGCACAACGAGAGCAUCAUAAAGAAUGUGAAAAUCACAUCUAAGUCUAACAUACUUCCUAUGCAUAGGCAUUUUAUAGGAAAACAGAUUUUCAAGACAACCAAUAGUUGCCAUAUGCAAGGAAGAAGAAAGAGACAAUAGCAAUCUCCACAUAAUAAGAGGUAAUUUGGUAACAUGAAAGUUUCUACCACAAUAUUUUCCUCUCUCAUAGCUAUUACAUGUGAGAUCAUAUUCGAAUUCAACAAUGUAACUAUCACAAAGGAUAUUCUUUUCAUGAUCCACAUGCAUGCAAAGUUGACGCUCUUCAAAAAUAGUGGGAUUAUCAUCUAAAGUCAUGACUUCUCCAAAACCACUUUCAAUAUUAUUAGAAAUAUCGUAUUCAUCAUGAGGUUUGAACAAAUUUUCAAGAUCAUAGGAAAGAUCAUCACCCCAAUCAUGAUUAUUGCAACAAGUAGUGGACAUAGCAAAGCUAGCAUCCCCAAGCUUAGGGUUUUGCAUAUUUUUAGCAUGAUUGUCAUUAAUAGGAUUUAUAGUGAAAUCAUUGCAAUCAUGCUUUUCAUUCAAGGAGCCAUCGUGAACCACUUCUUCAUGACGAUUUUUUGAUUCACGCAUCUCAAGCAAAAAUCCAUAAAGAUAGUCAAGCGCACUCAACUCACUAGCAAUUCGUUCCACAUAAGUCGGUCUCUUAAAGAGAUUAGCUAGUGGAUGAGGAUCCAUAUCACUAGAUUUUUAGCAAGCGAAGAUGCAAGCAUAUUGAAGGCACACGGCACACAAGAGAGCAAGAAAACGGGCACAGGAAAAUGGCAAAAGGCAAAAGAAAACGGCAAAGGAGAAAGGCAAAUGAAAACGGCAAAUGUGAAGUGGGGGAGAGGAAAACGAGAGGCAACUGGCAAAAAGGUAAAUGCAGGAGAUGAGUUUGUGAGACCUACUUGGAUAGAUCUCUCCUCCCCGGCAACGGCGCGAGAAAUACUUCUGCUAUUGCAACAAAAGACCUUCCAACGGCGCUAGAAACACAUGUUGACGGGAGACUGUUCUUGUCUAGAUUCUCGUCAACAACGGCACCAGGAAUCCUUCUGCUACGGCUACGCCUUUAGGGACUUCCUAGGCAAAUAUGCAAAGGAUUUCCCCGUGGCCUUGGAGCCUUGCGUUGGUGUUCCCUCGAAGCGGAAAGGGUGAUGUAGCGCAGCGGUGGUAAGUAUUUCCCUCAGUUUUGAGAACCAAGGUAUAGAUCCAAUGAAGGAGUAUCACAAGUGCCUGCACAAACACAAAGAACCUGCUCCCAACACUAUGAAGGGGUUGUCAAUCCCUUAUAGAUUGUUCGCAAAGUGAGAACUGAAAGCAACAAAAUAACAAAGCAAAGUAACAGCGGAGGUGUAAAUGAUAGAUGUGAAUAGACCCGGGGGCCGUAGUGUUUACUAGUGGCUUCUCUCAUGAAAGCAAGUAGACGGUGAGUGAACAAAUUACUCUCGAGCAAUUGAUAGAACCGCGCAUAGUCGUGAGUCAUCUAUGGCAAUGAUUAUAUCUAUAGGCAUCACGUCCAAAACAAGUAGACCGAUACUUUCUGCAUCUACUACUAUUACUCCACACAUCGACCGCUAUCCAGCAUGCAUCUAGUGUAAUAAGUCCAAAAGAACAGAGUAACUCCUUAAGCAAGAUGACAUCAUGUAGAUGGACAAUCUCAUAUCAACGACAGAGCCCACCUUGUUACCCUUGAUGGCAACUACUCAAUGUGUGCCUUGCAGCCCCUACUGCCACUGGGAAAGGUCACCAUAUGGUAAGAACCCAAAACCAAGCACUUCUCCCAUUGCAAGAAUCAUAGAUCUAGUUGGCCAAACAAAACCCAAGACUCGGAGAGACUUACAAGGAUAUCAAAUCAUGCAUAUAAGAAAUCAGCAAAGACUCAAAUAUAUAUCAUAGAUAAUCUGAUCAAAAAUCUACAAUUCAUCGGAUCUCGACAAACACACCGCCAAACAAGAUUACAUCGGAUAGAUCUCCAUGAAGAUCAUGGAGAAUUUUGUAUUGAAGUGAACUACUCACGAAUCAUUGGGGGGGGGCGAUGAUGAUGACGAAGAAGCCCUCCAACUCCAAAGUCCCCUCCGGCAGGGCAUUUUCUUGGAUCCCCUGAUUUUUUUUUUCUGAUUUUUAGGGAAUAUAUAGGCGUAAGAUCUAGGUUAGGGCGGCACCAGGGCCCCCCCCCCCCCCCCCCCGGUGGCGGAGUGGGGGCUUGUGGGCUCCCUGUAGCCCUCCUGGCUUGGCCCACAGCCCCCCUGAUCUUCUUCCGUUCGGGAAAAAAUCAUUUCGGGGAUUUUAUUCCGUUUGGACUCCGUUCCAAAAUUAGAUCUGAAAAGAGCCAAAAACACAGAAAAACAGGAACUGACACUUGGCAGUGAAUUAAUAAGUUAGUCCCAUAAAAAGAUAUAAAAGGUACAUAAAACAUCCAAAGAUGACAAGAUAACAACAUGAAACCAUCAAAAAUUAUAGAUACGUUUGAGAUGUAUCAAGCAUCCCCAAGCUUAACUCCUGCUCGUCCUCUAUUAGGGAAGUGAUAAAGAAUGAAUUUUUGAUGCUUUGACGCUACCUAGCAUAGAUGUCCUUUGUAACUCCUCUUAUGUGACGUGAAUGUUCAGAUCCAUUAGAUUCAAAACAAUAGUUUUCCAUUGACGUGGAAACAAUAAUAAUUCAAGCAAACUAGCAAGGUAAUCAUGAACUUUCAAAAUAACAAGGCCAAAAGAAAGUUAUCCCUACAAAAGCAUAUAGUGUGGCUAUGCUCUAUCAUCAUUGCAAAACGAAUUUAAAUCAUGCACAACCCUGGUAUUGGCCAAGUAAUUGUUUCACACCUUUACUUUCUCAAACCUUUUCAACUCUCACGCAAUACAUGAGCGUGAGCCAUGGUUUUAGCACUAUAGGUGAUGUGGAGUGUGGUGGAGGUUGCAAGACAAAAAAGGAGAAGAUAGUCACAUUAACUAGGCAUAUCAAUGAGCUAUGGAGAUGAUCAUCAAUAGAUAUCAAUGUGAAUGAGUAGGGAUUGCCAUACAAAUGAUGCACUAGAGCUAAUAGUAAGUGAAAGCUCUUAAAGAAAACUCGUGUCAACUCAGGCUGAACUCAAAAUCCUCACAGAAAAGUAUACAAGUCUUCAUGCUGAUCGCCAAGGGGUCAAACUGAAAUUCAUCAAAGCUGGAACUCUGCAGUUGAUGUGUGUAACAACAGAGCUGCCACUCCAAAGCAGCAGACACAACCUCAUCCAAGCUAUACUGUUCAGCUGACUAAGGAAGAUGAAACUAAAGAACCAGCUCCUAAGGAAAUUCCCCAGAAUAUUUCAGCUAAAUAAACUGCCAGGCCUAACACUGAUGAACUAGUCCCUCAUGAAAUUGCACCUUCACCAAAAUCCUCAAAGGUGAAGAAAGUGACUCCGUCUACAUCAGACGUGAAGAAAACCAAAGCGGUUCAGAAAGAAGCUAAAAAGAGAAAAGCUUAAAUGGCUUCAGAAUCCUCAGAAGCCAAAUGUCUCAAGAUUAUGCCGUCAUAAUCUUCAUCAGCCCCGGUGGAUGCUACUCCUGUCAAUGUAGCAUCAUCGUACAUGAUUGUUCCCUUCGGUAAGGACUAUGACAUUCCCGAAGAAGAUGAAGAAAUGGAUGACCCAGAAGAGGAUGAAGUAAUGGAUGAGGAAAUACAAAUUGAUGAUAUUCCUCAAAUCACCACACCUCCGAUGACCACUGAAGAAAAGGAGGGUGAUGAAGAAAAUGGAUGCAGCACUCAUGUGAUCCAUGAUGAGUUCUAGGAACACACUCGUCCUCACUCACCACAAACAGCUCUAGUUCCUCAUACUCCAGCUGCCACUGAGGUUCGUACCGGUUCUGAUGAAAAGAGCAUUCGUGAGGAAUGAGCACAAGAAUCAGCUGCAUCGGCUGAACAAAGUGCAACAUCAAAUACUGCAACUGCGUCCUUAGAUAAGAAGAUUCCUCAAGAUGAAGAAAAUGCUCCAACUGAAGAAAAUGCUCCUGUUCCUAAUACUGAAACCGCGAUUGUCGUGGUGAAUCCUAAAACAACAAUUGUGGUGGCUACUCCUCAAGAACAACAACACAAUCUUCAACCGAAGACAAAUCAACCCUUCUCCAACAGGCCAAAGUUUCAGAAAGAAGCAUUCUAUGAAGAACGUAUGUUCUUCACCUGUAGCGACCCGACUCAAAAUGAGUCAAGCCUCUGUGUAUCUGUGCCAUCUCUGGAUCAGUAUGCUGGCACACACAGUACAUCAAUGUAUAUACCAAAGUGCAAUCACAUGUAAAUAACAUAAAAUUGAUAUAUACCUCAAAGUCUCAGCGGAAACAGUCAAGGGAGUAGAGUCCCAAUAAACACCAACGACGGGUUGAGUGCAGACUGUAACCCUAAAUCGUACUCUUAGUCGUUGAAGAAAAUAUCUGCAACAUAAGACGUUGCAGCCGUGUAUGUCAGCAUAUUGAAUAUGCCGACAAGUCACAAAAGAGGGGUGAAAAUAUCAUCUAUACUAUAUGCACAUAUGGAAGGUGGGGCUAUAGUUUAAGUUUUGCAUAAAGAAAAUUUUCCUACAACAAGAGAGAGGGUAAAAGCAAAACUUACUACAUUGUUGGUUGUUAAUGAGAAGGUUCCACCAACCAAUUCUCAUACCCAAGUUAAUAUUACCCACAUCAAUAAUAUUUAACGGUGUUGAGAAUUCCUAAUAGUUUCAGUUCCUUUGGCUCAAAUUGUCCAUGACCGUGGACACGACUAAUCGAUUAGGUUUGAGUACUCUGUAGAGUUUUGCACACGUUCCGCACAAGAUUUGACCGCCUCCGUUAAAGUCCUCGCACUUCAGGGUGUUUGAGAACCGGAUGAUCAAAACAUGGUCUUUCAACGGGUUCCUCUGAGCCUCUGUCGGUGCCCAUCCAAUCCUACCGUUCUUCUACAUCUCGUAGCACCUCCCGUCUAGAGUCACCAUGUUGUGUGAUACGUCUCAAACAUAUCUAUAAUUUUUGAUGUUUUCACGCUGUUAUCUUGCCUUCUUUGUAUGUUUUAUGAACCUUUUUAUAUCUUUUUGGGACUAACUUAUUAAUUCAGUGCCAAGUGCCAGUUCCUGUUUUUUCCGUGUUUUUGACUCUUUUCAGAUCUGAUUUUGGAACGGAGUCCAAAUGGAAGAAAAACCCCGAAAUGAUAUUUUCCUGAACGGAAGAAGUCCAGGGGGCUUUUGGGCCAAGACAGGUGGGCUCCACGGAGCCCACAAGCCCCCACUCCGCCACCAGGGUGAGGCGGCGGUGGGUAGGCCNNNNNNNNNNNNNNNNNNNNNNNNNNNNNNNNNCCUGACCUAGGACUUUGGCCUAUAAAUUCCCAAAUAUUCCACAAAAAAUCAGGGGAGCCUCGAAAAUACUUUUCCGCCACCGCAAGCUUCCGUUUCCGCGAGAUCUCAUCUGGUAACCCUUCCCGGCACCCUAUCGGAGGGGACUUUGGAGUUGGAGGGCUUCUUCAUCAUCAUCAUCACCCCUCCAAUGACUCGUGACUAGUUCACUUCGGACCUACGGGUUCGUAGUUAGUAGCUAGAUGGCUUCUUCUCUCUCUUGGAUCUUCAAUACAAAGUUCUCCAUGAUCUUCAUGGACAUCUAUCCGAUAUAAUCUUCUUUGGCGGUGUGUUUGUCGAGAUCCAAUGAAUUGUGGACUUGUGAUCAGAUUAUCUAUGAUAUAUAUUUGAGUCUUUGCUGAUUUCUUAUAUGCAUGAUUUGAUAUCCUUGUAAGUAUCUCCGAGUCUUGGGUUUUGUUUGGCCAACUAGAUCUAUGAUUUUUGUAAUGGGAGAAGUGCUUGGUUUUGGGUUCUGCCAUGUGGUGACCUUUCCCAGUGAAAGUAGGGGCAGGAAGGCACACAUCAAGCAGUUGCCAUCACGGGUAAAAAGAUGGGUUUUCAUCAUUGGUUUGAGAUUAUCCCUCUACAUCAUGUCAUCUUGCUUAAGGCGUUACUCUGUUCUUAUGGACUUCAUACACUAGAUGCAUGCUGGAUAGCGGUCGACGUGUGGAGUAAUAGUAGUAGAUGCUGAAAGUAUCGGUCUACUUGUUUCCGACGUGAUGCCUAUAGAAAUAAUCAUUGCACAGAUAUCGUCAUGACUCUGCAUAGUUCUAUCAAUUGUUCGGCAGUAAUUUGUUCACCCACCGUCUACUCGCUUUCAUGAGAGAAGCCACUAGUAAACACUACGGCCCCCGGGUCUAUUCACAUCCAUCAUUUACAUCUCCGCUUUUACUUUGCUUUGUUACUUUGUCGCUUUCAGUUCUCACUUGGCAAACAAUCUAUAAGGGAUUGACAACCCCUUCAUAUUGUUGGGUGCAAGCUUUUGUGUUUGUGCAGGAUCUUGAGAUACUCUUCCGCCGGAUUGAUACCUUGGUUCUCAAACUGAGGGAAAUACUUACCGUCGCUGUGCUAUAUCACCCUUUCCGCUUCGAGGGAACACCAACAGAAGUCUCCAAGGCCAUGGGGGAAAUCCUUUGCAACUUGCCUAGGAAGUCCCUUAAGGCGUAGCCGUAGGUGAACGAUUCCUGGUGCCGUCGACACAACUAUUUCUGGCGCCGUUGCAAGGCAUACACAGUAAACAUCAGAAGUAUUUCUGGCGCCGUUGCCGGGGAGGAGAAAUCAAGAUCUAUCCAAGUAGGUCUCACAAACUCUUCUCUUGAAUUUACUUUUGUUGCCAGUUGCCUCUCGUUUUCCUCUUCCCUACUUCACAUUUGCCGUUUUCAUUCGCCUUUCUCCUUCGCCGUUUUCUUUUGCCCUUGCUGUUUUCCUUUGCUGGUUUUUUCUUGCUUGUGUGCUUGUUUGUUUGUUGAAGACAUCAUGUCUGAAAACACCAAACUUUGCGACUUCUCGAGCACUAAUAAUAAUGAUUUUAUUAGUACUCCGAUUGCUCCCGCCACUAGUGCGGAAUCGUAUGAAAUCAACGCAGCUUUGCUGAAUCUUGUUAUGAAAGAGCAAUUCUCUGGCCUUCCUAGUGAAGAUGCCGCAUCCCAUCUCAAUACCUUCAUUGAGCUUUGUGAUAUGCAAAAGAAAAUAGAUGUGGAUAAUGACGUGAUUAAGUUGAAACUUUUUCCUUUCUCAUUGCGAGAUCGCGCAAAAACUUGGUUUUCUUCUUUGCCUAAAAAUAGUAUCGAUUCUUGGGAUAAGUGCAAAGAUGCUUACAUAUCCAAGUAUUUUCCGCCGGUUAAGAUCAUCUCCUUACGUAACGAUAUCAUGAAUUUCAAGCAACUUGAUCAUGAACACGUUGCACAAUCUUGGGAGAGGAUGAAGCUUAUGAUUAGAAAUUGUCCUGCUCAUGGCUUGAGUUUGUGGAUGAUUAUACAAAUCUUUUACGUUGGCUUGAAUUUCGCUUCUCGCAGUAUCUUGGACUCCGCCUCAGGUGGAACAUUCAUGGAAAUCACGUUAGGAGAUGCUACAAAACUCCUAGACGAUAUCAUGACCAACUACUCUCAGUGGCACACUGAAAGGUCACUUGCUAGCAAAAAGGUGCACGCUAUAGAAGAGAUUAACUCGCUUAGUGCUAAGAUGGACGAGUUGAUGAAUUUGGUUGCUAGUAGAAACGCUACCGUAGAUCCUAAUGACAUGCCACUAUCUUCUUUGAUUGAGAGUAGCAACGCUAGUCUGGACGUGAAUUUUGUCAGUAGGAACAAUUUUGGCAACAAUAAUUCUUUUAGAGGAAACUAUGUUCCUAGGCCUUUUCCUAGUAACUCCUCUAACAAUUAUGGCAAUUCCUAUGGCAACAGUUAUGGAAAUCAUAACAAAUUACCCUUUGAUCUAGAGAGUAAUAUCAAAGAGUUCAUCAACUCUCAAAAGAUUUUCAGUGCGUCCAUAGAGGAAAAACUACUCAAAAUAGACGAUUUGGCUAAGAGCGUUGAUAGGAUGUCUUGUGAUAUUGAUGCUUUUAAAGUUAGAUGCGCUCCUCCCAAGAUCAACUUGGAUGAAACUUUUAAAGCUAUGUGUAUCUCCAUGAAUGAGAGCAAAAAAAGAACCGCCCAAAUUCGCGCUAGACAUGAAUGGUUUAAAAGGGUGCGUUCUAGUGAUGCAAAUCACGAAGAUCUUAAAGUGCUUGGUGUGUCUCCUUUUGAAUCUUUGUUUUCGUGUGUCAAACCUACUUACGGAGGGGUUGGAUAUGAAUCCACUUUGGUUGAAAAACAUCCCAUUGAUUCGGAUUCCACCUAUCUUGAUGAUAAAGGUGUGGAGAGUGGAGUAGAAGAAGUCAAAAUUUUGGGUAGUAAUGAAACUCCCACUUUGGAUUUCAAGGAAUUCAAUUAUGAUAAUUGCUCCUUGUUUGAAUGCAUUUCUUUGAUCCAAUCCAUUGCAAACUCUCCACAUGCUUAUAGCCAAAGCAAAGCCUUUACCGCGCAUAUCGUAGAUGCUAUGAUGAAAUCUCUUGAAGAGAAGCUCGAACUAGAAGUCUCUAUACCUAGAAAACUUCAUGAUGAGUGGGAACCUACUAUCAAAAUCAAGAUAAAAAACUAUGAGUGCAAUGCUUUGUGUGAUUUGGGGGCUAGUGUUUCCGCGAUUCCAAAGUCUUUAUGUGAUAUUCUUGGUUUUCAUGAGAUUGAAGAGUGUUCUCUUAAUUUGCAUCUUGCGGAUUCUACCGUCAAGAAGCCCAUGGGGAGGAUCGAUGAUGUUCUUAUUGUUGCAAAUAAGAACUAUUUACCCAUGGAUUUCAUUGUACUUGACAUAGAUUGCAAUCCUUCAUGUCCCAUUAUUCUUGGUAGACCUUUCCUAAGGACUAUUGGUGCUAUCAUCGAUAUGAAGGAAGGGAAUAUUAGAUUUCAAUUUCGCUUAAAUAAGGGCAUGGAGCACUUUCCUAGAAAGAAAAUAAGAUUGACUUAUGAAUCUAUGAUGAGGGUUCUUAUGGUUUGAGCACCAAAGAUGACUAUACGUGAUUCCAUCACUUUCGCCUAGCUAAGGGCGUUAAACAAAAGCACUUGUUGGGAGGCAACCCAAUGAAUCUAUCAUUUUUAUUUCUGUUUUGUGUUUUUCACACUUUCAUAAUUCUGUUAUGAUUGUGUUUUUUGUGUUUCUUUUUACGUUUGUGCCAAGAAAAACCGUUAUGAUUAGUCUUGAGGAUGAUCGUUUGGUCACGUUGGAAAAGACAGAAACUUUCUGCUCACAAAAAGAAUUUUCAUUUUUUUCUGUAAGAGCUUUUGAGUUGAUUCUUUUUGCUGCUGAUUGCUACACAAAGUCUUCAGACUGUCGUAAUUUUGCAGAAUUUUUGAAGUGCCAGAGGUAUAUGAAACAUACAGAUUUCUACAGACUAGAGUUGUGCCAUUGCUGUUUCUAUUAGAGGGCAAGGUACCUCUCGUAAGCCCAGGGAGAAGCCCUUGAAGAGGAUGGCGAGCCGGUCGCCGACUUUAAGAGCGGCAGAAUGGCACCAGUGUCGCAAAGCCUACUCGGCAAGCCCGAUCCUACCCCUACGUGAUGGUGUGUGCUCACUUGUAGAACAAUGUUCUUCUCCCAGGAUGACAAAAUCUUCAAAAAAUGAACUGAUCUUUGCAAGGUGAAAUAUUGAGUUUAUUGGAGUUUUUUUGCUCCAUGCAUUUCGUCCUAUUUUCAAAGAAAGAUCUAAAAAAUCCAACAAAAUAAAUUGUUAUCCUCACUUUUAGUAACAAAGCAAAAGAGCUCAAUGCCCAAUAUAUCCAACCGGUUCACAUGUACAAGUCAAAAUAAAGAUAUAUAUAUUUUUGCAUCAAAUAAAGAAAAUGAACAAUUCAUCAGUUUUUUGCAUGGUAUGAACAAUUCAUCUUUCUUUUUUGGUUCACGACACCAAAUAUUGACCGAUUCCUGCAACCGCUGUACACAACCUUUCACGUUGAUACUUGGACCCCUAUCCAUCGUUUACAUAUACAUGAAAAGAAUAUAAUUAAAAAGCCCAUACUAAAAGCCCACUAGUAUUCAGAUCCAGAUUAAUCUUGUCUCCUGAAACAGCUAAACUACCUUCUCUCAUCAUGAUUAGUUUCAACGUGGGUCAGAUUAGCCGCCGCCGCCGCCACCCAUCUACCUAUGAUCUGUGAAACAGUUGAACUACCUUCUCUCAUCGUGAUUAGUUUCAAUGUGGGUCCGACUAGCCACCGCCACCGCCGCCCAUCUGCCUCUGAUCUCCCUGCACUACCACUCACGAUUUGUUUCGAACGACGAGUCAGCGAUGCAACCUAUUUCAUUGCUUCAGCCAACGAAGUAGCAGGUAAUCUCUAUCAAUUCUCAUCUCUUACCAUUGUCGAAAUUAUACAUCAGAUUUUAGUUGUUCCGUUUGACUGAACUUUAGGCAUGGCUACGAAAUACAUGUCACUAUUGAGUUCCAAUGAUGAAUUAGCACAAGAUACACUAAAAACAAGAUUACUCUACUCUGAAAGUUGAGAUGCUAGAAAACAUCACCAGAAUAGUAGAACUUGUUGAAAUAUAUGUUCCAGGGACAAUACUUUAGUUACUUGAACAUCUUUCAAAGGGAAAUACAAGUUUUCUCAACUGAUACAAUACAGGGACAAUUACUUAAAGCAUAUAGCUUUUCUGCAAUGUCGUGAUC
This 42958-nucleotide long non-coding RNA is filed under the name Hordeum vulgare. RNAcentral describes it as "long non-coding RNA (HVUL_LNC004878)". The record is from RNAcentral. Lineage: Eukaryota; Viridiplantae; Streptophyta; Magnoliopsida; Poales; Poaceae.